UACGAAGGGGGCUAGCGUUGUUCGGAAUUACUGGGCGUAAAGCGCACGUAGGCGGAUAUUUAAGUCAGGGGUGAAAUCCCAGAGCUCAACUCUGGAACUGCCUUUGAUACUGGGUAUCUUGAGUAUGGAAGAGGUAAGUGGAAUUGCGAGUGUAGAGGUGAAAUUCGUAGAUAUUCGCAGGAACACCAGUGGCGAAGGCGGCUUACUGGUCCAUACUGACGCUGAGGUGCGAAAGCGUGGGGAGCAAACAGG
RNAcentral lists this ribosomal RNA (252 nucleotides) under uncultured bacterium. RNAcentral's name for it is "partial 16S ribosomal RNA". It matches the Rfam family "Bacterial small subunit ribosomal RNA", at positions 524 to 776 of the family's 1533-position model. The record is from RNAcentral.